This 253-nucleotide ribosomal RNA is filed under the name uncultured bacterium. Its description in RNAcentral is "partial 16S ribosomal RNA". It matches the Rfam family "Bacterial small subunit ribosomal RNA", at positions 524 to 776 of the family's 1533-position model. The record is from RNAcentral.
UACGAAGGGUGCAAGCGUUACUCGGAAUUACUGGGCGUAAAGCGUGCGUAGGUGGUUCGUUAAGUCUGAUGUGAAAGCCCCGGGCUCAACCUGGGAACUGCAUUGGAUACUGGCGAUCUGGAGUGCGGUAGAGGGUGGCGGAAUUCCCGGUGUAGCAGUGAAAUGCGUAGAUAUCGGGAGGAACAUCCGUGGCGAAGGCGGCCACCUGGGCCAGCACUGACACUGAGGCACGAAAGCGUGGGGAGCAAACAGG